CCCCUCCUCUCUCUCUCUCUCUCUCUCUCUUCUUCUUCAGUCUCUGCGCUCGCCGUCGUCCUCUCGCGGCUGCAACAAUGGCAGCGAGUCGCGCGCCCGCCUGCGGCUGACCAAAUGCUUUCCACGUCGCAGCGAGACGGAGAGGAAGAAGGCGACAAGGUUUCACGACGUUGCACUUGCAGGUUCAUUUAUUGGACUCCAUCGCCUCCUCUUGGAGUUGGCGUUCGCCUUUUCCUCCGCCCCGCCCCCCCCCGCACGAGAAUGCUCCGUGGCCUCCCGCAUUGCGCGAUCGAUCUCCCCCUCCUCGCUCCGAUUGUUCGGUUCCUCUCCCGCCGUGCAUCUCGGCUGCCGCUCGGCGGUUCACGAAUCCUUCGUCCGGCGAGCGCCAUGAACGGUUGGGACAGCCGCGCGAUGCUUGAUCGCUAUAUUUACGAUUAUAUGAUAAAGAAGAACAUGCACGAAACGCCAGAGAUUUUCAGAAGGGAGGCUGCUCUGGCUUCUGAGAACGCCCUUCCCGGAGGGAUAGAUGUCCCAGAGGGUUUUCUGUAUGAAUGGUGGUUGAUAUUCUAUGAGACGUUCAUGGCAAGCCAGCUAGAUAAUGGGAGUUUCUCAGGAAGUUCUCCCACAAUGAUGAUGACCUUUCCCCAAGAAACAACUGCUUCUCUGACCAGACAAUCUGUGAUGAAUGAGGAAAUGGAAAUGACAAGGGACUUAGCAAAUGAUACUAAUACCAGAUUGAUCUUUGGUGACGAUUUUAUGUGGUUGAAAGAAUGGCCUUCAACAAAAGCUGAUCAUCUCCCCCAAAAUCUCAUGCCUUUGCCCUAUCAACAGAAUCCAUCGACUUUUUCCUCAACUUUGAAUCCUGUGGUUGUCACUGAUGAUUUAAUCCCACAAGUAGGAGCACAUCUCAUGCCUCCAGGAUUGGAGAAUCAUAUCUUAAGUUCUCGGAAAGUUGAAGAUCAUAAGAAAAUCAUCAUACUUUCAGGAUUAGCUGAGAGCAGCAAAAAGAGAAAGGCUUCAUCAGAAGGAAACUCCGGCAUGCCAGGGUUCUUUUUACUACAUUCAGAUGAUACUGAAGACAAUCCUUCUGAUAUGAGUGCUGAAGCAAAUUCUUCUUAUGUUAAUGAAAUGAAUGGCGAAGCAAAGGUUUCUUCUAGCACCUCAAAAAAAUGUUCUUCAGCUUCGGAUGCAUCCAAAGAUAUCGUAAGUCCUUGAACCAAGAUGGAACCAGUAGGACAUACAUGCAAGUUCAUGGCUGGUUAAUAUUGUCCUUAUAUGCUGAAAGAGUUGCUUAUGCUGCCAUCUGAAGCUUGUGAAGUUACUCAAGCGGUGCUUGGUUUACCUUAUAUCAUAUAGACAUUUUUUUUUUGCUUGGAUGCACAGAGGCCUUUUCUGGAGGUUGUCCUUUAAUUUGCUUUAAUUUGUGAUGUUAUGACAAAAAUAAGUUAAAGCAAGGCAUAAUUGGAUAUAAAUUAAAUCUCACUUCUUUCUGCCACUUAAGAAGGAAAAAAAUCUUGACAGUGGAGGAGAGGCAAUGGUGGGAUUAAAUGCUAAUUCUAAGUACUUCUGCACUUCCUUUAGAAGUUGGCGGUUAUGGGGAUUCCAAGAAGUUGGAAUGACCCAUUUGUCUCCAGUCUAGAACUUUCAUUUUGUGCAUUCUUUCUCUCCAACCAGGAAUAUUGUGAUUGAAGCAGAUCACUCUUAAAAGAGGUGCUUCCCUAUUCUAAUUGGCUAGCAUGUCGGAAGUUAUGGAAUUUGCUGCUAUUUCUUCUCAACUUAUUGCAGCAUAAGUUUUUUCCUUCCUCGUUUCGCUCAGGUUUUUAGGUUUUUGGGGCCUCAUACCAUAAUGAGGAUCGAUUGUCUGUUCUUUUUUUAUCGGCACUAUAUCAAGGCAAUUACUUGUGUUACUCUUUGCUAUUUUCGUGGUUUGUGACACGUUUCUUUAAAGCAAAUACUGGAUAGAAGUUCAAAAAACCAUUGGUUUAGAAAUGUCAUAUGACAACUAAUUUUGAAAACUUUUGUAGUUUGUUUGCUAAACCAAUAAAGGUGGAAAAGCAAGUAAAAUAAUGUCAGUUUAGGCAAAAUGCAGGAAUUAUAAUCUAUUUUCUCCUAUAACUCCCUACCUGAUCUUAGGACUUUAAUUUUAAAAUUUGAACUAUGUAGCUUGUUCAAUCACUCUCGAUCUGAGCAAGCUAUUCCGAAGCUUGAAAGAGAAAGGUGGAGAAGAGCUCAACAAUUGUCUCAUAGACUGUGAUUCAAGAUUCUUCUUUCAUUGAAGAGGUCAUUCGUAUGCUUUCGUCUUAUCCAAAAACCUUAAUUAGAAGUUGCAUUUCUCCUAAGAAAACUUUCUAGUUGAAUUCGUCAAAUUAUUUGUGGAGGGAGGUUGCUCUCUGUAUCUAUAGUUUCUCGCAAUUCAGUUUGGGCCAUUAUUGACAUGCCAGCGGCAUUUCUCUCUCUUUUCAAGAAGCUGGUCGAUGUUCAAUUUGUAGACGAAACUCUGAAGAUUGCUAAAUGUUCUAGCCAAUCAAAUUGUCUUGUUUUUUCAUAGCAAUUUGUCUUGCCGUCUGUUAAGAGGUCUGCUUUUGUUCACAUCUAUGAAAUUCCAUGAGGGGUGAGGGUCAAUAUUAUCCUGCUUAAUUGUUAGUGGGAAGGGUAUUAGCAAUCGAGAACUUUCAUGUUUUUGAGUCAAGAGAGCCGAUAUUGAGAAGGAAAUGGACCUAGCCGUGAACAAGGAACUUCUUUAUUUCUUAUCCAUUCUAGGUGUUGUAGUGUUUCGUGCUAUCAAGAAUGCUGAUAAUAUCUUAGUUGUUCAGUCGAUGGAUAGCUUAUAUGGUAAUAUGCAUGUGGAGAAGGAAUCUCCACGUAGAAUGUGAAUAUUCAAAAUUUCUGGUCUCUGUGUUUUGGCUUUUUGUUGUUUCCUUUUUCUGGAGUGGAGAUUGCUUCUAAUUACCGUAGGAAAGUGUUGAGACACUCUUGCUAGCUUGCAUGCCGUGAAGCUUGCUUCUGGUUGAAAUGCCUUGUUAAUGUAAAUAACUUUAACGGGAUGCUGCACUCGUUUUCUCACAACUUUAAUGCAUGCUGCACUCGUUUUCUCGCGAAGUUGUCAUUUUUAAAUUCCUCAAAAUUUUGCUUGUGCAUGGAUAGCAGUUACACGAGAGCUACGUUACAAUUCCAUUGUUUGAAAAAAUUGUUUCCUGGAAAAAGGGAAGAUUGUUUCAUCUAUAACGUCAGGUAUAACUUAUCUAAUUGGCGUAGUGAACAGUUAAAACCCAGUUUCCGUCUGAAAAUAGUUCUCUUGUUUGGUCAUUCCCUCACCACUGAUUGGGAAUUACAACUUAUACUCUUUUGCUGCCAUCAAAUUUUAACUAUUUGCAGAAUAUAAAUGGUUGGAAAGACUAACCAAAAUAAAGAUAAGAGAGAUGGCAUUUGAGAGGAAGAUUAUUUGAUCCAGAAAGAGAGAUUUUUAUGCAUGUACCCAGAGCAUUCUUUCCAACUACAACACUCUUUUUUGCAGCUUAGUAAAGAAUAUACCUUUGGAAGCACUGGAAGCUGAGAAUAAUAUCCGUUUCAAGUGCUAGAAGAAACACUUGCUUCAGCAUUCUUGUUGUUAACAUAAGAAGAAGAUGCUUCAGCACGCAUGUCAGAAGGCUUCUCUGUUUACAGAGUUUCCGAAUGUCAUACACGGAAACCUGGAGCAUGGGGUUGUAUUUUUCAGUUGGGGCACUAACAUUCAUGGCUCCUUUGAAGUACUCGUUCCCUUUCCCUUUAAUGACGCACACUAUGGGAGGUCAUCAUUGGCAGGUAUAUCAGCCAAGUUCUGUCUGGAUAAUUGAGUGUUAACAUUAACAGGGAGUAAAACAUCGAAAAGUUAGCCACUGCAGUGUUUAACUCUUUGAAACUGGAUUUUAUUUAAUUAAUUAAUUAAUUUUUUUUGGGGGCGCGGGGGGGGUGUUCAUGCAGCAUAGUUUGCAUAAUUACCUUAUUUGGCCCUGAUUUGCCUAUUAUUGGUAGAAAGUUCAUUAAUACGUCUUGACACAAAUGUGCCCAGCAGAAAAAUUUUCUUGUGUGCGGAGGGGUCAAUCAAUACCUGUGACUCACACUUUUAUAUACCAUAAUGCAGAAACUUGUGUCAGGUCUUUGUAAUUUGGAGAAUUUAUUUUCCAGUAUGGAAAGAAAAUCCGACCAUGUCUAUAUGUGUCCGAUUGGGUUACACUAUACAUUAAUUGUUAUAUAUUUGGACGUAAAGGUCGAAUUAUCAUUUGCAUAUAGGAAUUUCAUAAACAAUGUCAGGUUCCUUGUGGAUAUUUCCAUAAAGUGACAGUCAGAAAAAAAGUGCAUACUGUUCUACUGUCGAGGUACGCAAUAUCUUGUGCAGUUACCAUGUGAUGCUUCAGAAAUUUGGCAAAUUAAAGUUGGUAAACGAGACUUUUCCUUGGAUGGUAGUAGGCAAGACGAGAGUUAAAAUGUCUGUCAUGGUAGUAGCAAAGAGCGAAAAUUAUUAAAAUGGUCUUUUUAUGGUCUAUAAUCUGUUUGUGUUAAUGGAUUUCAGUUUCUGCAUUAAAAUCAAUGCUUUCUGUUAGUGAUGUUAUGAAUUUCUUGAACUAGACAGUGUAUACAUAAGAUAUCUUGCUU
This is an RNA transcript of Syzygium oleosum, 4632 nucleotides long. RefSeq lists it as uncharacterized. The record is from RefSeq and is a predicted model, not a curated record. NCBI's taxonomy places the organism in Eukaryota, Viridiplantae, Streptophyta, Magnoliopsida, Myrtales, Myrtaceae. The transcript is spliced from 11 exons.